UACAGAGGGUGCGAGCGUUGUCCGGAAUCACUGGGCGUAAAGGGCGCGUAGGUGGCUCGUUAAGCGUGUGGUGAAAGCCUGGGGCUCAACCCCAGGUCUGCCGUGCGAACUGGCGAGCUUGAGCAGAGUAGAGGCGGGUGGAAUUUCGGGUGUAGCGGUGGAAUGCGUAGAUAUCCGAAAGAACACCGGUGGCGAAGGCGGCCCGCUGGGCUCUUGCUGACACUGAUGCGCGACAGCGUGGGGAGCAAACAGG
Molecule: ribosomal RNA, 253 nt
Filed under: Gemmatimonas sp.
Lineage: Bacteria; Pseudomonadati; Gemmatimonadota; Gemmatimonadia; Gemmatimonadales; Gemmatimonadaceae
Also listed under: 1 other name
Description: partial 16S ribosomal RNA
Rfam family: Bacterial small subunit ribosomal RNA
Source: RNAcentral